This 288-nucleotide ribosomal RNA is filed under the name Shigella sonnei. Its description in RNAcentral is "partial 23S ribosomal RNA". It matches the Rfam family "Bacterial large subunit ribosomal RNA", at positions 2655 to 2925 of the family's 2925-position model. The record is from RNAcentral. Lineage: Bacteria; Pseudomonadati; Pseudomonadota; Gammaproteobacteria; Enterobacterales; Enterobacteriaceae.
UGGAGAACUGAGGGGGGCUGCUCCUAGUACGAGAGGACCGGAGUGGACGCAUCACUGGUGUUCGGGUUGUCAUGCCAAUGGCACUGCCCGGUAGCUAAAUGCGGAAGAGAUAAGUGCUGAAAGCAUCUAAGCACGAAACUUGCCCCGAGAUGAGUUCUCCCUGACCCUUUAAGGGUCCUGAAGGAACGUUGAAGACGACGACGUUGAUAGGCCGGGUGUGUAAGCGCAGUGAUGCGUUGAGCUAACCGGUACUAAUGAACCGUGAGGCUUAACCUUACAACGCCGAAG